RNAcentral lists this ribosomal RNA (252 nucleotides) under uncultured bacterium. Its description in RNAcentral is "partial 16S ribosomal RNA". It matches the Rfam family "Bacterial small subunit ribosomal RNA", at positions 524 to 775 of the family's 1533-position model. The record is from RNAcentral.
UACGAAGGGGGCUAGCGUUGCUCGGAAUUACUGGGCGUAAAGCGCACGUAGGCGGUCUUUUAAGUCGGGGGUGAAAUCCUGGAGCUCAACUCCAGAACUGCCUUCGAUACUGGAGACUUGAGUCCGGGAGAGGUCGAGUGGAACUGCGAGUGUAGAGGUGAAAUUCGUAGAUAUUCGCAAGAACACCAGUGGCGAAGGCGGACUCGCUGGCCCGUACUGACGCUGAGGUGCGAAAGCGUGGGGAGCAACAGG